RNAcentral lists this long non-coding RNA (280 nucleotides) under Phoenix dactylifera (date palm). RNAcentral's name for it is "long non-coding RNA (PDAC_LNC018398)". Lineage: Eukaryota; Viridiplantae; Streptophyta; Magnoliopsida; Arecales; Arecaceae. The record is from RNAcentral.
CACGCUCGGAUAUUUCAGGUUUGGAUUUCCGUUAUGGGUCCCUGCAAAGCUAUUCGGAUUCAGUUGAUGGUCGCUAAGAUACAACCCGAACCCGACCCGUUGCCAGCCAUACCCGUUUUGGACCGAGCAAGACCAGGGUCCCCAGGUAUCCAUUUCGGGGUCAUCGGUCAUGGCCGUAGGCCUCUCUCCUCCUUCUCUCUGCUGAUCUCUCAAACCGGUCAAUCCACGCCGGGGCGGUCGCCAUAGAGCGAUGAGGGCGGCGACGGUGGUGGCGGUGGUC